CCGUGCACGCGCCGCCGCUAAGCCGCGCUCCUGUGCCGGCCGCGCCGCUGCUGCGCCGCACGCCGCCGCCGGCCGCCGCUGCCGGCCGUCUCUCUCUCUCUCUCGGUGUUCCGCCGCGCUAUCCAGAGCCCAGCCGGCCGAAGCAACAGCGCCGGGAGAAGGAAGCCAGGAAGAAGAAGGAAGAAAAGAAAAGGAAGAAAGAGAAAAGAAAAGGAAGAAAGAAAAAAGAAAGAAAAGAGAGAGAAAAAAAAAGGGAAAAAAGAGAAGAAAAGAGAAGAAAAAAGGGAAGAAGAAGAAAAAGGGAAAAGUUGGAAAUUUCGGAAUUUUGUCGGAUUCGUCGUCAAUCUUUCGAAGGCGAUUUCUCGGUGAUACUAUUUCUGGACGUUCUUGAUCGAAUUUUCUUCAUCGUCGGUAAAGGCAAGUGAAUGUAUUGUAUGACUAUGCUUUAACCUAAUAUUGGGUUGCCUACAUUCUUUAAUUACAGUGCAUUCAUCUAAUCUGAAUGACUGAUUCUGGGCUGAGUACUAUGUUGUUUACGUUUCCAGAAGUUUACUCGAUGAUUGAUUUAUGAAGUGCAGUAGGCACGAUAUGCCAUUCUGCAGUUGUUCA
Molecule: long non-coding RNA, 609 nt
Organism: Phragmites australis (common reed)
Lineage: Eukaryota; Viridiplantae; Streptophyta; Magnoliopsida; Poales; Poaceae
Exons: 2
Source: RefSeq, a predicted model, not a curated record